Mucispirillum schaedleri ASF457 is the source of this 72-nucleotide non-coding RNA. NCBI's taxonomy places the organism in Bacteria, Pseudomonadati, Deferribacterota, Deferribacteres, Deferribacterales, Mucispirillaceae. The record is from Rfam.
AGGCGUGUAGCUCAGUGGGAGAGCGUUGCCUUGACGUGGCAAAUGUCAGCGGUUCAAUCCCGCUCUCGCCUA